ACAAGCGGUGGAGCGAUGUGGUUUUAAUUCGAAGCAACGCGCAGAACCUUACCAGCCUUUGACAUCCCGAUCGCGGAUUAGAGAGAUCUUUUCCUUCAGUUCGGCUGGAUCGGUGACAGGUGCUGCAUGGCUGUCGUCAGCUCGUGUCGUGAGAUGUUGGGUUAAGUCCCGCAACGAGCGCAACCCUCGUCCUUAGUUGCCAUCAUUUAGUUGGGCACUUUAAGGAAACUGCCGGUGAUAAGCCGGAGGAAGGUGGGGAUGACGUCAAGUCCUCAUGGCCCUUACAGGCUGGGCUACACACGUGCUACAAUGGCGAUGACAGUGGGCAGCAAACUCGCAAGGGUGAGCUAAUCUCCAAAAGUCGUCUCAGUUCGGAUUGCACUCUGCAGCUCGAGUGCAUGAAGGCGGAAUCGCUAGUAAUCGCGGAUCAGCAUGCCGCGGUGAAUACGUUCCCAGGCCUU
This 461-nucleotide ribosomal RNA is filed under the name uncultured Erythrobacteraceae bacterium. Its description in RNAcentral is "bacterial SSU rRNA". It matches the Rfam family "Bacterial small subunit ribosomal RNA", at positions 925 to 1382 of the family's 1533-position model. Lineage: Bacteria; Pseudomonadati; Pseudomonadota; Alphaproteobacteria; Sphingomonadales; Erythrobacteraceae. The record is from RNAcentral.